RNAcentral lists this ribosomal RNA (96 nucleotides) under Salmo salar (Atlantic salmon). The record is from RNAcentral. RNAcentral also lists the same sequence under 1 other name. Lineage: Eukaryota; Metazoa; Chordata; Actinopteri; Salmoniformes; Salmonidae.
GCUUGUGGCUAUACUACCCUGAACACGCUUGUUCAGGGUCGGGCCUGGUUAGUGCUGGGACUGGAGACCGCCUGGGAAUACAAGGUGCCGUAAGCU